AUAGCAAAUUAGAAGUUCAGUUAAUGACAGGAGUUGAGUCCAGCAGCAUGUUAUUAGUUUGCUUUACAUACUUUUCAAUGAUGCUUGGGCUUAUUCAUGGAGAUCAUAUAAACUGUCACUGCAAAUACAUACCCAAAAUAGGAUGGGCAGGGUUAUUUUUGGCCCCAUCUGGAUGUGCAAUAGUACAACCACCGCCUCCUGGAUUCAAAUGUGAAUGUUCUUACAUAUUUUUAUGGACAUGCAGUGGAUCUGUCCAGAAAUGUGACAAUGAACUAAUGUGCCUGGAUCCAAGUACAUCUAAGGAUUAUUGUGUAGGAGAGUGUAGUGGAUACUACCAAUGAUUACAAUCCCAAUCUAUCAAUUUUAUGAUAUGGAAUAUUUGUAAUGUACUAAUAAACAUAAAAUAAAUAUUUUUAAUUUGA
This is a long non-coding RNA of Eurytemora carolleeae, 422 nucleotides long. RefSeq lists it as uncharacterized. The record is from RefSeq and is a predicted model, not a curated record. The transcript is spliced from 2 exons. Lineage: Eukaryota; Metazoa; Arthropoda; Copepoda; Calanoida; Temoridae.